CCAGUGGAAGGGUGUAUAAAGGCUCUUCCUUCCUGGCCGCACGAGACCUCCCGACUCCUGGGAUGGCUUGUCCACACAUCCUCCUCUAGGGUGAGGCUUCUCCUGGGUGGGAGACGCUUGGAUGUCUCUCACUCGCCCUGAUCUCUCCUCUUGUCUUUUCUUGGGGAGUAGCUUCGACUUGCUGGCCCGCUGAUGUCGCAGCAGGAGCGGAGAUCCUGGGGGCCUCCGGGGGCUCCCAGGCGCUGCCCUGCCCCGGACCCCUCCCUGGCUCGCCGCUCCGCCCCCUGCUGCCCUCCCCACCCAGGGGGCUGUGCGUCUGGCCCCCAGGAGCCCCGGGAUCAGGGCCGGGAGGGCACCGGGAGGACCUGCCGCAGGCCCCGCUGGCUCGGCUGCGGCGUGGUCUACCGCAUCAGAGAGAAGGAGUGCUAAGGCGCCCGGCCCGGGGAGAGGCGGGGGUGCGGCCGCUCCGGCCCCCCAAGGCCCGUGCUCCGUGCCGGGAAGCUCAGGCCGCCGCCCUCCCCUUGGGGCUGGGAAGCUCUUCCUGGUCCCCGCGCCGAGGAGGCAAGACCGGCCUGACUGCGCUUCUGCUUCCGUCUCCCACCCACGCUGCAGCUCAGCCGCACGCAGCUGCUUCCUUUGGAGCCGCGGCCGCCGUGACCCCCCACAUUUCGGAGAGAUGGAUGGCUUGGGAUUUACGUCUGCGUUCCCGGCAUCCUCGCAGACACGCCCUGUCAUCCCAUGACCCUGGCAGCCAAGGCUGCGCUGUAAUAAACACCCACUGAGCCCUGCCGUGCGCUGGGCUCCGUGCUCACAGGUGUAAGUAGACUGGUUUCUGCUCUAGAAAAGCUUACAGUCUGGUGGGAGAAGCAGUGUACUCGAGAUUCAAACUCUAGAUAUGCCGACUAAUUCAUAUAAUUCUUAACCAACUGACAUGCUUUUCUUUGUCUCACUUCGUGUUCAAAGGAACUUGAAGGAGAAAAAGCACCAGAGGUCCAGGACGCCUGAAAGUGUAGAUGAAAGGUUCCCAGGACCGUGGGAGGAGAAGCCUGAAACAGCACAGGCUCCCUGGGAGGGGAGGACGGGCUUCCUGGACCAGGCAGCACUUCGGGGCCGUGGAGGACAGGCGGGAUUAGUGCUGGGCGGGCAGGGAAGGGGAAGGCUUCCAGGUGAAAGGCGCAGCACCGACUGCGCCCCUAAGCCAUGGGUGUCGGGGUGGCUGGCGGCCAGGCGUGAGAAGACGAUGUGGGACAGUUCAUGACUCCAGUCCCUCAUGGUACUGUGAGCCACUGGAUUACAGAACGUGAGAUAUAAAACCCCAGCUACCGAAGCACUGUCCGCUGCACACAGUCUGGGCCCAGGCUCAAGGUCUGUCAGCCUGGGUUUGGGGUACCUGAGGUAAGGUGUAGGGGCCAGUGGGUCCAACUAUGCUGCAUGUCGAUAUAAGUUCCAUGUAAAAUUUUUAAUGAUUCUCAUUUUCUCGGGGACACUGAAAAUAUAUUUUUUUAACCAAAUACCCAACCCAGUAGGUCAUAUUGGCCAGCCAGGUUCAGAGCAAUCAGCCUAUAUUCCAAUACCGGGGCCACCUAUUUGCAGACCUUAGCAGUCCUCCCACCCCUACAAGUAUACAGAUAUAUCAUAAUCUUGUAUAAUUAUAAUUCUAAAUGUGUAAAUUUUCUCAUUAAAUAAAUGAUGACUAUUUGUGUAAAUACGUGUUAAUGUUGAUAAGCAAAAGGAAGAUGAUUAUGACCAGCCAAAAAUCUCAUCACCUAGAAAUAACCACUAAUGACAAUUUCAUGGUUAUAUUUCUAAAUCUUACAGAAAUCACAAAAUGGGAUCAUUUCAGAAUAUUUUAGAACCCACUUUUUUAUUGAACAAUACCAUGGUCAACACUCUUCCAUGCUAGAAAAUGCCACUUACACUCCUAUACUCUCUGACAGGGGAGCAGACUCUCACCGGCGAUUAUUCUUAGUAAUUUCCCAAAGAUAAACUUUUAGAAUUGGAAUCCUGGCAUUGUCAAAGACUAUGAAAUUUUGUUUUCAGACUUUCCAGGAAGAUUGUAUUUUAGAAGCAAUUAAAAUGCCUCCAUUUAAGAAAAUCA
Long non-coding RNA from Manis javanica (Malayan pangolin), 2098 nucleotides. RefSeq lists it as uncharacterized. Lineage: Eukaryota; Metazoa; Chordata; Mammalia; Pholidota; Manidae. The record is from RefSeq and is a predicted model, not a curated record.